CAGAGGGUGCGAGCGUUGUUCGGAAUUACUGGGCGUAAAGCGCGCGCAGGCGGCUCUUUAAGUCUGACGGUGAAAUGCCAGGGCUCAACCCCGUGCCCGCCGCGGAUACUGGAGAGCUGGAGACACGUAGAGGCAAGCGGAAUUCCGGGUGUAGCGGUGGAAUGCGUAGAGAUCCGGAAGAACACCGGAGGCGAAGGCGGCUUGCUGGGCGUAGUCUGACGCUGAGGCGCGAAAGCGUGGGGAGCGAACAGGAUUAGAUACCCUGGUAGUCCACGCCGUAAACGAUGGGCACUAGACGCGGGUGGGAUCGACCCCUUCCGUGUCGCAGCUAACGCGAUAAGUGCCCUGCCUGGGGAGUACGGCCGCAAGGCUG
Molecule: ribosomal RNA, 373 nt
Filed under: uncultured organism
Description: bacterial SSU rRNA
Rfam family: Bacterial small subunit ribosomal RNA
Source: RNAcentral